ACUUAAAUAGCUUAUAUUUAGAGUAUGAUAUUGAAGAUAUCAGGGAAGUUUUAAACUUUUAAGUA
Molecule: transfer RNA, 65 nt
Filed under: Glycyphana fulvistemma
Lineage: Eukaryota; Metazoa; Arthropoda; Insecta; Coleoptera; Scarabaeidae
Description: tRNA-Phe
Source: RNAcentral